GCAAGGCUAAAACUCAAAGGAAUUGACGGGGGCCCGCGCAAGCGGUGGAGCAUGUGGUUUAAUUCGACGCAACGCGAAGAACCUUACCUGGGUUUGACAUCCUUUGACAGUCCCGGAAACGGGAUCUUUCCGACUUUGUCGGAACAGAGUGACAGGUGCUGCAUGGCUGUCGUCAGCUCGUGUCGUGAGAUGUUGGGUUAAGUCCCGCAACGAGCGUAACCCUCGUCUUUAGUUGCCAGUAUUUAGUUAGGCACUCUAAAGAGACUGCCUCGGUUAACGGGGAGGAAGGUGGGGAUGACGUCAAGUCCUCAUGGCCUUUAUACCCAGGGCUACACACGUGCUACAAUGGGCUGUACAAAGGGUAGCUAAUUCGCGAGGAAGCGCUAAUCCCAAAAAGCAGCUCUCAGUUCGGAUUGGAGUCUGCAACUCGACUCCAUGAAGGUGGAAUCGCUAGUAAUCGUGGAUCAGCACGCCACGGUGAAUACGUUCCCGGGCCUUGUACACACCGCCCGUCACACCACGAAAGUCGACUGUACCAGAAGUUGCUGGGCUAACUCCGUUUACGGGGAGGCAGGUACCUAAGGUACGGCCGGUAAUUGGGGUGAAGUCGUAACAAGGUA
RNAcentral lists this ribosomal RNA (620 nucleotides) under uncultured bacterium. RNAcentral's name for it is "bacterial SSU rRNA". It matches the Rfam family "Bacterial small subunit ribosomal RNA", at positions 888 to 1498 of the family's 1533-position model. The record is from RNAcentral.